UACGGGAGGCAGCAGUGGGGAAUCUUGCACAAUGGGCGAAAGCCUGAUGCAGCGACGCCGCGUGCGGGACGAAGGCCUUCGGGUCGUAAACCGCUUUCAGCAGGGACGAGGCCGCAAGGUGACGGUACCUGCAGAAGAAGCCCCGGCUAACUACGUGCCAGCAGCCGCGGUAAU
This 174-nucleotide ribosomal RNA is filed under the name uncultured bacterium. RNAcentral describes it as "partial 16S ribosomal RNA". It matches the Rfam family "Bacterial small subunit ribosomal RNA", at positions 340 to 524 of the family's 1533-position model. The record is from RNAcentral.